CCUACGGGAGGCUGCAGUCGAGAAUCAUUCACAAUGGGGGAAACCCUGAUGGUGCGACGCCGCGUGGGGGAAUGAAGGUCUUCGGAUUGUAAACCCCUGUCAUGUGGGAGCAAAUUAAAAAGAUAGUACCACAAGAGGAAGAGACGGCUAACUCUGUGCCAGCAGCCGCGGGAAUACAAAGGUCUCAAGCGUUGUUCGGAACCACUGGGCGUAAAGCGUGCGUAGGCUGUUUCGUAAGUCGUGUGUGAAAGGCGCGGGCUCAACCCGCGGACGGCACAUGAUACUGCGAGACUAGAGUAAUGGAGGGGGAACCGGAAUUCUCGGUGUAGCAGUGAAAUGCGUAGAUAUCGAGAGGAACACUCGUGGCGAAGGCGGGUUCCUGGACAUUAACUGACGCUGAGGCACGAAGGCCAGGGGAGCGAAAGGGAUUAGAUACCCUUGUAGUC
Molecule: ribosomal RNA, 446 nt
Filed under: uncultured bacterium
Lineage: Bacteria
Description: partial 16S ribosomal RNA
Rfam family: Bacterial small subunit ribosomal RNA
Source: RNAcentral